CACACAGAGAGAGUCCUGAGACUCUGGAGCCGCAGCGACUCGUCACACUACAUGACAACAGUCUAAUGUGCUAUUCUGUGAAAAACCCCGCUUGUUUGGGACUAUUCAUUCACUGAUUGUUCUAAAGGGACGUCAUAUCUAACUGAAGAGGUGUGGCUCUCUGUCUGGAGCUGCAACUGACCUCAGCCCUGCUGUCAUGGCCUCAGCCCUCACACCAUGCAGAAAGCACCCCUCCUAACCCUCAUACCUCACACACACUCACACCACACAUCGCCACACACACGCACAGUCAUGAUGACCACCUCCCACAUGAAUGGGUAUGUGA
This is a long non-coding RNA of Carassius auratus (goldfish), 325 nucleotides long. RefSeq lists it as uncharacterized. The transcript is spliced from 2 exons. Lineage: Eukaryota; Metazoa; Chordata; Actinopteri; Cypriniformes; Cyprinidae. The record is from RefSeq and is a predicted model, not a curated record.